UCAUUCAAAUAAAUCAAUAUUAUCUACUACAAAGGUGGAUCAUUACUUAUUAAAUUGCUACCGUCCUUAUGAACUACUUCUGAGAAGCAACUCUAACUAUUGAGGGUGAAAUUGCUGUAUUUGGAACCAAAAAAGUCCAUAUAAAAUAUUGUAAAGGAUCAAUUCUAUUUGUUGGUUGGGUUCCCAUCAAUUACAUAUUCUUUUCACCUCAAUAAUUCACAUGCACUGCAUGAUUGAAAUAAGGCUC
Molecule: long non-coding RNA, 247 nt
Filed under: Elaeis guineensis (African oil palm)
Lineage: Eukaryota; Viridiplantae; Streptophyta; Magnoliopsida; Arecales; Arecaceae
Description: long non-coding RNA (EGUI_LNC012609)
Source: RNAcentral